RNAcentral lists this ribosomal RNA (392 nucleotides) under uncultured eukaryote. Its description in RNAcentral is "partial 18S ribosomal RNA". It matches the Rfam family "Eukaryotic small subunit ribosomal RNA", at positions 592 to 976 of the family's 1831-position model. The record is from RNAcentral.
CAAUAGCGUAUACUAAAGUUGUUGCGAUUAAAAAGCUCGUAGUUGGAUCUCAGGCAUGGGCGCACGGUCCGCCUCGCGGCGGUCACUGUGUGUUUUGUUUCCCAUCCUACGCUUCCCGGUUAUCAGCCCAUGGUGCUCUUCACUGAGCGUUUUGGGUGGCCGGAACGUUUACUUUGGAGAAAUUAGAGUGUUCAAAGCAGGCACGUCGCCUGAAUAAUGGUGCAUGGAAUAAUGGAAUAGGACCUCGGUUCUAUUUUGCUGGUUUUCGGAACACGAGGUAAUGAUUAAGAGGGACAGACGGGGGCAUCCGUAUUGCGGUGUUAGAGGUGAAAUUCUUGGAUCAUCGCAAGACGAACAACUGCGAAAGCAUUUGCCAAGCAUGUUUUCAUUAG